RNAcentral lists this ribosomal RNA (254 nucleotides) under uncultured bacterium. RNAcentral describes it as "partial 16S ribosomal RNA". It matches the Rfam family "Archaeal small subunit ribosomal RNA", at positions 474 to 727 of the family's 1478-position model. The record is from RNAcentral.
UACCAGCACCCCGAGUGGUCGGGACGUUUUAUUGGGCCUAAAGCAUCCGUAGCCGGUCAUGCAAGUCCUCCGUUAAAUCCAGCCGCUCAACGGUUGGGCUGCGGAGGAUACUACGUGGCUAGGAGGCGGGAGAGGCAAGCGGUACUCAGUGGGUAGGGGUAAAAUCCUUUGAUCCAUUGAAGACCACCAGUGGCGAAGGCGGCUUGCCAGAACGCGCUCGACGGUGAGGGAUGAAAGCUGGGGGAGCAAACCGG